UUUGAUGGCGACCGGCGCACGGGUGAGUAACACGUAUCCAACCUGCCGAUGACUCGGGGAUAGCCUUUCGAAAGAAAGAUUAAUACCCGAUGGCAUAAUUCUUCCGCAUGGUAGAACUAUUAAAGAAUUUCGGUCAUCGAUGGGGAUGCGUUCCAUUAGGUUGUUGGCGGGGUAACGGCCCACCAAGCCCUCGAUGGAUAGGGGUUCUGAGAGGAAGGUCCCCCACAUUGGAACUGAGACACGGUCCAA
RNAcentral lists this ribosomal RNA (249 nucleotides) under uncultured bacterium. RNAcentral's name for it is "partial 16S ribosomal RNA". It matches the Rfam family "Bacterial small subunit ribosomal RNA", at positions 84 to 334 of the family's 1533-position model. The record is from RNAcentral.